UCCAGGAAACUACUUUUUUUGAACUCGUCCCGGUGACCGAGGUUUGGGGCGUCGACUAGUUUUACUCAGGCCAAUCGGAGUUCACGAUGAAACUUUGUAAACAACUCUCACGCUGUUUAAAAGCUCUCUAACCCUAUUUACUACGAAAAUGCACGACGGUUCUGCAGCCAACUGACCCCAACGUGCCAAAACAGACCUCCAUCCAGAUGUGGAAAUCUAACUCCACUCAGAAAGUAUUUAUGAAGACAAGAGGAAUGAUGCAGAAAGAAGCAGCACCAGAGAGCCUGUUUUGGCCCUGCAUGGGACCUCAUGCUUGGGUUAAACUAUUUCUUGGCACACCUGGGUGACAUCAUAAUGACCAGCGAAGAUAUCAGCCCACCUGUUACCAGCCCAAGCUUUUAAUCCAGCUUCAGAAUACAAUACAGAGGAGCCCUGUGCUGUGUUGUGAACACAGACACACUCGUGGGCGUACACACACAUCCACACUUUUAUAAGCCAUUGAAAGAGACAAGAGCAAAGGCGGAAAGAGGAGCAGACGCCUCUCAGAUGCUGGGCUUGGCUUUGUGUGCCUCUUGACACAGACGGUCGCACACAAGAUAACUGUUGUUUAUUGUUUAUGGAAGGACCCUCUGCCACACUCCACGCUCUCUUCAUCUGGAGGCUCCUAAAGGGCCACAGCCAAGAGCCACAGGGGAAAAGAAAAAUGGAACUCACUGAAUCUAUCUACUGUAUGUGUGCAAGCGUGAGCGUAUGAAAGACUGCACAUGUUUUCUUUUGUGUUUACAUGUACAGAGUGAAUGUACACAUAUUGGGCGCUAUUAUUCUUCCAUAGCUUCUGCAUGGAGUGUGUGUUGUUUGCUCAGCUGGAGUUGGUUCAGUGUGGAGGGGAUGGGGAGGCCAUCUUGUUCCGCUGGGGUCUCAGUCACAAUAAAGUCAUUGCAGCAGGUGAUGUGGACUUCCACCUUGAUCCGAUAGACAGUGUUCUAUGUUAUAUAACACAUUUAGCAAAUUUAAAGAUGCAUUUUUCUUUGGUGAGUAUUAUGUUGAAGGGGUAAUUCAGAUACCACAAAACUAAGAUGGAUUUAUACCAAUCUAUCACCGUCUGAAUCACUAGGCCUGUUUUAUAUCUUAGACCCCACAAACCUCAAUGUACUCAUUAUUCUUCCCAUUAAUAGCCAUGAUUCCAGAAUGUGAAAGGGCAAUCUUUGAAGAAAACCUGAAGACAAAUCUUAUAUUCCCCUGUCAACAAUUAAGGUGUGUUCCAAACUAGAUUUAGAUAACAAUCUCGGAAAUGAGCUGACUAAUUUCCUAAACAACAUUAAAACAAGGUGUCAGAAAAAAAUCCAUACAGACAUACAUGUACAGCACAAAGUCUUGGAUGAAUCAGUAGUUGACACUCGGCAGUGCUAGAUUUGCAAUUCUCCAACAUGACUUUGUCAUGCUACCAAUUAAGUAUGUUGAGUGAGAAUGUCUCAGUAAGAAAAACAAAGAAGGAAAAAGUCUCAAUGAUUUCUUGAGAUUGAAUUAAAAAGCACUUAAUACAGUAUGGUAAGACAGGAUAGAAGAAAAUGCUCAUUGUUUGUUAUGAUGUAUGAUGGUUAUGAGGCACCUGGGUGUCUCUGUAAGCUGAUUUGAGCAGAUUUUAGGUUAACCAUGGGAGUAGAUGUUGGAAAAACAUAAAGUUCAUCAGAGAGCUUUUCACUGUAAACUGCAUCGCUAUCUAAAACCUUUGACGGGUGUUUACGAAAAAUCACAUUUCUGUUAGCAAAUAAGUCUCUAUCAAUGACGUGUUUAUUGGUUGUACUGGUGUUAAAAUAUAUCCUAUUGAAAAAAGAAUUUUAUAAAUUGUAUUUUAUGAUUCCCUUUUAUAAGGCUAUAUAUUUAUAGCAUUAAUACUUGGGCAGACUUUUCUGUCCACUCCGGCCUCAGCUCCUUCCUACCACUCGCAGCCAUGUGCUGACAGAAACGUGUUGGUGUGUACCAGGUUCUCUGCAGUAAAACCAGUAGAAAGAGAAAUUCCUUCCUAAUGGUGCAUGAAAGUAAUGAUUCACCACUGUAUUAUUGUUUGAACCAUUGGCAGAUCUUUUCCACAUCACCUCAACACUGUACCUAAAGAAAACCAUAUUUAUUUUCAUGCAGUAUUAUACACUUGAACAACGUUUGACAGCUGAAGUUGAUGUGUCUCCACUGACCUCCUCUCUCAUCAAAAUGUGCAGUUGGUAGGAAAGAGGCUGCAGCUGGACCCGGAUCAUGCCUGCUGGCGAUAGAAGCAUGAAUAGCAGGCUAGCCCUGGGCACUGUGAACAGUCCUGCUGACGACUGUACCGACAGGGUCACAGCCCCUCCAUGCUGCCCCGCAAAAGGAGAGUGGGAGUAAACAGGCGUAAUAGGGAGAGACUAAAAGAGACUUGGACUGUGUUCUUGUAAAUAAUUGCAUUCAUUGUUCUCUGCCACUGUUGGUUAUGGUCACAAGCUGUUUGGUAGGCCCCUGUCUGUCUGGUGCUCCCCAUGAGCCCGGUGUCAGCCCCUACGCCCCCGAGGGGAGCAAGUUGUGCCAGGGGUGAGGAUGCCAGCUUCCUGACCCGGUGGCCCCGCGUCUGAGGUGCCCACGCCAGGACCAAACGGUCCCUGGGCCAGCUCGGAGACUCAGGGCGUGCUGUGCGCAUGCUGCUCCGCUGUUAAAUAAAGCUGGUUCAAAGAGCACAUUCCUGCCCCCAGCCCAGCAGCGAAAUAGCGAGCUUUCUUGCUUGUAGUGUCAAAGCACCAGAUUGUUUCGUUUUAUUGCUUUGCCUUUAUCUCGCCUGUGUCUGGUACAAUCUGAUUGGCUGGAGCAGGUUAUUAGCCUCUUGUUGGCUGUGGGAACAGCAGAUGGCCUAUUAGGGCCAGAUUACCUGUACUCCUUAUCUUAAGUGAAGAAUUUUGUUCCAAGUGCUCAGAUGUUUCAAGGAAGCUAGUUGCUAAAAUCAUUAAGGCAUUGCAGUACAGUUUAGCUUAUCUGAAAGUUAACACCCAUGCUGUAAAGCCCUUAUAACCAGAUUAAAAUAAAAGUUCUCUAUGCAUAUUUACCUACACCAAGGAAGUUAUGUUUUCUGCUCCAUCUGUUAUUGGCAGGAUAAUGGAGAACGACUUGCCUCAUUUUGACUAGUCUUGUAGUCUGGCGUAGCAUGGGCAAGGAAGAGCCCAAUAACAUUUGAAACGUAUGAGUAUCAUUGGGAAGAUUUUCAAAAUGUUUUUUACUUUCAUAGCAUAUGGAAAAUAGCAAGAUGAAGUCUUUUUGCUGCAUUUAGGGAUAAUCUUAUCUCUAAUCUUGUCUCAAGACAGAACAACAGCUAUCCAGGUGUUGUUUAAACACUCAGAGCAAUAAACUUCAACACAUCUUCUUGGUAGUGUCCCUGUUUUUUCUGGAUUGUAACUUAAAUUCAUGAUUACAUCAAAGUCUUGAAAUUUGCACAACUUCUUGACUCAGGUAAAAAGGAACCAUCCGCUGUUCAUUUGAAUGCAUUCGAUUCAUUGGCCUUUGGCGAAGGUUUGUGCACUCCAAACGCCAUUAUAGUUUAUGUGUUGUGCUCAUAACAGAUGAUGAUGGCUGUUUAUGAUUCAAAAUUUUAGGUCAGAAUGUACAAAAGACAUAUGAUGUUCACUACAAACAGCAGCAACAUAUUUAAGUAAAAGUACAUGUGUGCCGUCAGCAGGGGCUUCAGGAACUAGCUCAUUGCUUUCUGUUUGCCAUUGAUACUCCUUGGAGAACUGACAAGACUUUCAGACAGAUGCUGCGUAAUGGCCUGUAACAUGAGAGGAAUUAAAAAAGAAAUCAGGAAGUCUUGUCUCUAGGUCCACUUUUUCUCUCUGAACAACCCCUUUUUUUCUCCUUCUAUUUUCUCAUUCCUCGUGUCAGCAGGAAGCCUCUGUCCGUCAAUGCGUCCAAAGUAAAGGUCUGCAAAAACAAGCGUGGGAACUAACCAAGCCUAACACGGCAGCAUCUGCAGCCUGUAAUGAUAGAACCUCAAUGACAUCAUGUGUGUUUGAGGGAGGGGGGGGGCUCUGGUGCACCGUGGAUCUCCUCAGAAUACCAGUGGCUAAGUGGAACACACAAGCUGAGCUCGUCAAUUGAAGUCAGAUGCUCUCGGGCACUUUCUUACCGGCUAAAAACGUCCCCAUUGUCUCUGUCCUCUGUAGACUCCGAUUGAGGGGCCUCACAAGGGCUACGUCUGACUUUACUAUAUGGUAAAUGUCAGAAAAUAGAUGCAGGCCUCUGUAACAAAGUAGAAUUGGAUCCAAGCUGCCCUGGGCCGCUGUGUUUGAUCUGCACCACUUUCUGUACAGCUAUACCCACAUCUUGAUGAAGGCAGAAAGCGCACAGCUCAUUCAGGAUGUUAUGGUAUUUUAUCGUAUAAUAAUCUGACGUCACGCUGGAGGAUAACUAUUGACAUAUGUUGCUUGACAUUAUGAAAACCUUUGGUCGUUUAUUCAUACAUUCAUUCACAUCUUAUCUCUGUUACUGCGCUCAUGUUUUUUUUUUAUUUAUGAACUUCCUGUUAAACCGGUAACCAGGUUUUUAUAAUAAGUUUGUUUCUUUUGGUUUCAUAUUGUAUACAUUAUCCUGCUGAGUACUUGCAUCUGUGUUGCAUUCCAGUGCAAAGAGAAAUGCAAUUUCUAACCCGGCAGCCGAAAUCUGAUACAAUGCCUGGAUUUAAUGGAGCCUUUAUGACUCUUGAGAUCAUCCCGUUGUGAAUAACACGCUCUUCAUGUGAAUUGAAAAAGUGAUAAUUGUGGGUGGGGAAUGUUUUAUCAGUUCUGACUGAAGUCAAUCAUACGGCAACAAUGUAACAGAGAUCAAAGACGGGCGAGAACAAAAUCUCCUUGGCCUACAGGUAGUAUAGCAGUUUAACUGGAAGUAGGAAACACACCCACCCACACACACACACACACACAUUUCGUUUCCCAGCUAGUGUGGGAUGAUCCCUAAAGAUGUGAAACUCAAACAAUGUUGUUUGUUGGUUUUGAUCGUGUGCAUGACAUCAUACUGGGUAGGGGGUGAGUGCAUAAAUGUUCUAUUAUAAUUCCAAUAAAUCUGGUUCCAUCAAAAUGCAACACGCCAAUUCUGCUGUCAGUUGAAUGAAUUGUUUGCAAUAUCUUCUUGUUGUAAUGAAAAGACAUUGCUCAAAUAUAUCAACAACUGAUAAGUGUUUAAGACAUAUUUUCAUUGUUGCAUGCUAUUAAUUUUCUGCUUACAUCAGACAUUCCAGAAAGUCACUGGAGUUUGACUCGGAGCCGUUAAGUGCUUCACUUCCUUUAAAAACCCAACAGUGCUCUGCUGUGGCGAUGGCAUCAGAAAAAACAAAACAAAAACAAAAACAGAUGCAACCAGAAUUUACUGAGAGCGUGCAAAUUGUAAUUUCACAGAGACUGAACCAUCUUUUAAAUCUUAUAAUAAUAAUAGAUAGUCUUUAAUGCACUUGGAACAAAAGCUGCAUACUAGUAUAUUGUACUGUCAUUCAAGUCAUGAGAGAAAUGUCAAAAAUGUCACGCAAUGUUAGGAAAUUCUGAAUCCAAACAAUGAUCCAAAUCUAGACCUACAACAAAUCAUCUGCAGUUAUUUCUCUUUUAUUUGUAUACAUUAUGUUGUAGAGAACUUUAAACAAGCACACAGGCAAACGAGGCAAAGAACAAACUAGUCUUAGUUUACCAAAAAGAAGAAAUUCAUUUUUCUUGGUUGUAUGAUUUAUGAAAAUGUGACAGCUCAGACCCGCUA
This is a long non-coding RNA of Eleginops maclovinus (Patagonian blennie), 5751 nucleotides long. RefSeq lists it as uncharacterized. The record is from RefSeq and is a predicted model, not a curated record. NCBI's taxonomy places the organism in Eukaryota, Metazoa, Chordata, Actinopteri, Perciformes, Eleginopidae. The transcript has 3 exons.